This 207-nucleotide ribosomal RNA is filed under the name uncultured bacterium. RNAcentral's name for it is "partial 16S ribosomal RNA". It matches the Rfam family "Bacterial small subunit ribosomal RNA", at positions 568 to 774 of the family's 1533-position model. The record is from RNAcentral.
AGCGUAGGCGGAUAGUUUAGUCAGAGGUGAAAGCCCAGGGCUCAACCUUGGAAUUGCCUUUGAUACUGGCUAUCUUGAGUGUGGGAGAGGUAUGUGGAACCCCGAGUGUAGAGGUGAAAUUCGUAGAUAUUCGGAAGAACACCAGUGGCGAAGGCGACAUACUGGCCCAUUACUGACGCUGAGGCUCGAAAGCGUGGGGAGCAAACA